This is a long non-coding RNA of Vidua chalybeata, 1650 nucleotides long. RefSeq lists it as uncharacterized. The record is from RefSeq and is a predicted model, not a curated record. Lineage: Eukaryota; Metazoa; Chordata; Aves; Passeriformes; Viduidae. The transcript is spliced from 6 exons.
GUUUUGACUCUCCCAGGUUGUCCCUGGUCUAUAUUUUCUUUAGUAUCACUCCCUGCCCCCCACCAUUCCCCACCCCCCCCCCAUUUACUUCAAUUUUCUCUUCUUUAGGUAGCUAAAUGUAGAAUCACAGAAUCAUAGAAUGGUUUUGGUUGGACAGGACCUUAAAAAUAAUCUUGAUCUAACCAACCUGCCACGUACAGGGACACCUUGCACUUAACCUGAUUGCUCAGAGCUCCAUCCUGCCCAGCCUUAUCUUGUCUGGAAAAAAAACAUUUCUAUUUUAAAAAAAGUUACUCCCUUUCUGUAUCUCAGAGCUGUCAUAAUUUGGGUGAAAGGAGCCUCCUCAACUGCCUGGAGAAGCCUUGGGACAGGCAGAGCCCCACAUAAAUCAACAAGUAUCGUGCCAAGUAAUGCUAACUGAAUUCACUCACAUUUUCUUUUGGGAAAAGACUGGCCUGACUUUCAGCCAUCAGAAAUUAGGAAAAGAUUGGUGAUGUCUUCACCUGUGCCCAAAUUUUUGGAAGCCAUGAGGAGUUAUACAGGAUGACUAUUGAGACAAACCCCAUGUGUUUCAGGUGUCCAGAAGGCUACACAUGAUAUUUCUCAAGAGCAGCCUAGAGUGCUUGGUACAUAGUCAGCUGUCUUAUUGCUUAUGGGGGAAAAACAUGCAAUAAGACUGCAGAAUAAAGAAUUUGCAUCAGGGUACAAUAGCUCCCUCCCCAUCCUAGCUCCUGAGUCUGCUUUACAGUGACUCAAAAGCUGUGGGUUGCUUGAGUUCAUAGUCCAGUAGCCUAAGAGAGGACAUGACAAAGAGAUGUCUCCAGACAGUGAUUCUGAACUUUUCCUGACUCAGUUUCCUUCUGCUGCUGUGUUAUAUCCUUUUCAUCAUUCGACCCCACUCCUGGGUGCUGGAAUUGACAGCCUCUGGCAGCUGCAGGAGUUUAUGAUAGCAGUUUUUUACUGCCCAUCCUCCUCCUCCUGCUUUCUGUGCGCUCAUCACCACUGACUGCUCACUUCUCUCCUGAGCACUGAUAUUUCACAGGAGCCUUUCUCAGCCAUCUGUGAUUUCCUUCUGCACAGUUCAUGCAGGGUGGCUUCCUGCAAAGUGCCUGUGCCUGGCAAUUCCUCCCUCUGACAAGGAGCUCUUGGGAGCUGAGCAACCGAUGAGUAUAGAUCAGCCCCAUCAGCAAGAGGACAAGCAGCCCAGCAGGACCAUCCCCAGACCCACCACAGCAGAGGAACCCAGGCUGCAACAGUCAUCAUAUAAGGUCAGGUAGAUGAAAAAAUAAGGUGGAGAUUGUGGGAUCCUUGCAAAACAGGAGGAGCCAAAUGAGGAGUAAAGGCACUUCAAUAUCAAGGAAUUUAGGUGCAGCAAAGAAAAGUAGCCAAAAGCACUCAUUCUCAGCACCCAGCUUUAAAGGGCAGCCUAGAAAUUAUGAGAAACCAGCUCUGAAUGAAGAACCUGCCAGGAUUUUUACAAGAGAAGACCCUGUGCAUCUGCUGGCGUGAGAGGACUGCAGAUGACCAAGUCUCCUGCUCUAGACAAUGAUCCUGCUGUUAGAAGAAGAGAAACAGAGGUACAGGGCAGUGGAAUGAUCAAGGAAUAGGAGAGGCUCUGUACUCCCAAUUGGACCAGUGCUGUGACGUCAG